UAGGGUGGUUAUUGCAUUAGGGCUCACCUCUUCCCAUUUCGAACAGAGAAGUUAAGCCUAAUAGCGCAGAU
This 71-nucleotide ribosomal RNA is filed under the name bacterium. The record is from RNAcentral.